CGUGCUUAACACAUGCAAGUCGUACGAACUUUGGAGGGCUUGCUCUUCAAGGUUAGUGGCGGACGGGUGCGUAACACGUGAGCAACUUGUCCUACGGUGGGGGAUAGCCGGCCCAACGGCCGGGUAAUACCGCGUAUGCAUCGGCAUCGCAUGGUGCUGAUGUGAAAGCGGCCGUAAGGUCGCGCCGGAGGAGGGGCUCGCGGCGUAUCAGCUUGUUGGUGGGGUAACGGCCUACCAAGGCUACGACGCGUAGCUGGUCUGAGAGGAUGAUCAGCCACAUUGGGACUGAGAUACGGCCCAGACUCCUACGGGAGGCAGCAGUGGGGAAUAUUGCGCAAUGGCCGCAAGGCUGACGCAGCGACGCCGUGUGUGGGAUGAAGGCCCUCGGGUUGUAAACCACUGUCAGGAGGGACGAAUACUCGGCUUCAAAUAGUUGACCGAGGGUGACGGUACCUCCAGAGGAAGCACCGGCUAACUCCGUGCCAGCAGCCGCGGUAACACGGAGGGUGCAAGCGUUGUCCGGAUUCACUGGGCGUAAAGCGCGCAGUAGGCGGUUCUGUAAGUCACCUGUGAAAUCCCGGGGCUCAGCUCCGGGGCUGC
RNAcentral lists this ribosomal RNA (600 nucleotides) under uncultured bacterium. RNAcentral's name for it is "bacterial SSU rRNA". It matches the Rfam family "Bacterial small subunit ribosomal RNA", at positions 43 to 624 of the family's 1533-position model. The record is from RNAcentral.